UCUUUUAAUUGAAGGCUUGUAUGAAUGGUUGGACAAAAAGCAAGCUGUCUUCAAUUGUAAAAAUUGAAUUUGACUUUUAAGUGAAAAGGCUUAAAUAAUAUAAAGUGACGAUAAGACCCUAUAAAGCUUUAUAGUGUAACUUUUUAUUAUAAAUUAUUAAAUUGUAUAACUUAAUUUAAAGUAAAACUCUUUCGUUGGGGCGAUGAAAAUAUAAUAAAAUAACUGUUUUUGUUUUAAAUAAUACAGGUAUGUUUGGUUUUAAUGAAUGAUCCUUUAUUAAAGAUUAAAAGAUUAAGUUACUUUAGGGAUAACAGCGUAAUCUUCUUUGAGAGUUCAUAUCGACAAGAAGGGUUGCGACCUCGAUGUUGAAUUAAGGUUCCUGUGUGGUGUAGCAGCUACAGUUGGAGGUCUGUUCGACCUUUAAAUCCUUACAUGAUUU
This 439-nucleotide ribosomal RNA is filed under the name Sergia tenuiremis. RNAcentral's name for it is "partial large subunit ribosomal RNA". It matches the Rfam family "Bacterial large subunit ribosomal RNA", at positions 1972 to 2606 of the family's 2925-position model. The record is from RNAcentral. Lineage: Eukaryota; Metazoa; Arthropoda; Malacostraca; Decapoda; Sergestidae.